AGUUCGAUUAUGGCUCAGAUUGAACGCUGGCGGGAUGCUUUACACAUGCAAGUCGAACGGCAGCACGGACUUCGGUCUGGUGGCGAGUGGCGAACGGGUGAGUAAUGUAUCGGAACGUGCCUAGUAGCGGGGGAUAACUACGCGAAAGCGUAGCUAAUACCACAUACGCCCUUCGAAGCUUGGGGGACCUUCGGGCCUCGCACUAUUAAACGGCCGAUAUCGGAUUAGCUAGUUGGUGGGGUAACGGCUCACCAAGGCGACGAUCCGUAGCUGGUUUGAGAGGACGACCAGCCACACUGGGACGAGACACAGCCCAGACUCCUACGGGAGGCAGCAGUGGGGAAUUUUGGACAAUGGGGAAACCUGAUCCGUAUCCCGCGUGUGCGAUGAAGGCCUUCGGGUUGUAAAGCACUUUUGGCAGGAAAGAAACGGCACGGGAUAAUACCCCGUGCAACUGACGGGCUACCUGCAGAAUAAGCACCGGCUAACUACGUGCCAGCAGCCGCGGUAUGCGUAGAGUGCAAGCGUUAAUCGGAAUUACUGGGCGUAAAGCGUGCGCAGGCGGUUCGGAAAAGAAAGAUGUGAAAUCCCAGAGCUUAACUUUGGGAACUGCAUUUUUAACUACCGAGCUAGAGUGUGUCAGAGGGAGGUGGAAUUCCGCGUGUAGCAGUGAAAUGCGUAGAUAUGCGGAGGAAUUUACCGAUGGCGAAGGCAGCCUCCUGGGAUAACACUGACGCUCAUGCACGAAAGCGUGGGAGCAAACAGGAUUAGAUACCCUGGUAGUCCACGCCCUAAACGAUGUCAACUAGCUGUUGGGGCCUUCGGGCCUUGGUAGCGCAGCUAACGCGUGAAGUUGACCGCCUGGAAGAUGCAGUCGCCAGAUUAAAACUCAAGGAAUUGACGGGGACCCGCACAAGCGGUGGAUGAUGGAUUAAUUCGAUGCAACGCGAAAAGCCUUACCUACCUUGACAUGUCUGGAAUCCCGAAGAGAUUUGGGAGUGCUCGCAAGAACCGGAACACAGGUGCUGCAUGGCUGUCGUCAGCUCGUGUCGUGAGAUGUUGGGUUAAGUCCCGCAACGAGCGCAACCCUUGUCAUUAGUUGCUACGAAAGGGCACUCUAAUGAGACUGCCGGUGACAAACCGGAGGAAGGUGGGGAUGACGUCAAGUCCUCAUGGCCCUUAUGGGUAGGGCUUCACACGUCAUACAAUGGUCGGGACAGUUAGCAGCCCGCGAGGGGGAGCCAAUCCCAGAAACCCGAUCGUAGUCCGGAUCGCAGUCUGCAACUCGACUGCGUGAAGUCGGAAUCGCUAGUAAUCGCGGAUCAGCAUGUCGCGGUGAAUACGUUCCCGGGUCUUGUACACACCGCCCGUCACACCAUGGGAGUGGGUUUUACCAGAAGUAGUUAGCUAACCGUAAGGAGGGCGAUUACCACGGUAGGAUUCAUGACUGGGGUGAAGUCGUAACAAGGUAG
Molecule: ribosomal RNA, 1472 nt
Filed under: uncultured Bordetella sp.
Lineage: Bacteria; Pseudomonadati; Pseudomonadota; Betaproteobacteria; Burkholderiales; Alcaligenaceae
Description: partial 16S-23S ribosomal RNA intergenic spacer
Rfam family: Bacterial small subunit ribosomal RNA
Source: RNAcentral